This 500-nucleotide ribosomal RNA is filed under the name uncultured bacterium. RNAcentral's name for it is "partial 16S ribosomal RNA". It matches the Rfam family "Bacterial small subunit ribosomal RNA", at positions 30 to 523 of the family's 1533-position model. The record is from RNAcentral.
AUUGAACGCUGGCGGCAUGCCUUACACAUGCAAGUCGAACGGUAACAGGGAGCUUGCUCCGCUGACGAGUGGCGAACGGGUGAGUAAUGUAUCGGAACGUACCUUUUAGUGGGGGAUAACGUAGCGAAAGUUACGCUAAUACCGCAUAUUCUCUGAGGAGGAAAGCAGGGGACCUUCGGGCCUUGCGCUAAUAGAGCGGCUGAUAUCAGAUUAGCUAGUUGGUGAGGUAAGGGCUCACCAAGGCGACGAUCUGUAGCGGGUCUGAGAGGAUGAUCCGCAACACGGGAACUGAGACACGGUCCAGACUCCUACGGGAGGCAGCAGUGGGGAAUUUUGGACAAUGGGGGCAACCCUGAUCCAGCCAUGCCGCGUGAGUGAAGAAGGCCUUCGGGUUGUAAAGCUCUUUCGGCCGGGAAAAAAUCGCAUGGGCUAAUACCCUGUGUGGAUGAUGGUACCGGAAUAAGAAGCACCGGCUAACUACGUGCCAGCAGCCGCCGUAA